UCCCAUCCCGAACUCGGCCGUGAAACUCCCCAGCGCCAAUGGUACUGCAUCUUAAGAUGUGGGAGAGUAGGUCGCUGCC
This 79-nucleotide ribosomal RNA is filed under the name Polymorphum gilvum SL003B-26A1. Lineage: Bacteria; Pseudomonadati; Pseudomonadota; Alphaproteobacteria; Rhodobacterales; Paracoccaceae. The record is from RNAcentral.